RNAcentral lists this ribosomal RNA (460 nucleotides) under uncultured bacterium. RNAcentral describes it as "partial 16S ribosomal RNA". It matches the Rfam family "Bacterial small subunit ribosomal RNA", at positions 338 to 795 of the family's 1533-position model. The record is from RNAcentral.
CCUACGGGCGGCAGCAGUGAGGAAUAUUGGUCAAUGGGCGGGAGUCUGAACCAGCCAAGUCGCGUGAAGGAUGACUGCCCUAUGGGUCGUAAACUUCUUUUAUCUGGGAAUAAAAUGUUCCACGUGUGGGCGUUUGUAUGUACCAUAUGAAUAAGGAUCGGCUAACUCCGUGCCAGCAGCCGCGGUAAUACGGAGGAUCCGAGCGUUAUCCGGAUUUAUUGGGUUUAAAGGGUGCGGAGGUGGAUUGUUAAGUCAGUUGUGAAAGUUUGCGGCUCAACCGUAAAAUUGCAGUUGAAACUGGCAGUCUUGAGUACAGUAGAGGUGGGCGGAAUUCGUGGUGUAGCGGUGAAAUGCUUAGAUAUCACGAAGAACUCCGAUUGCGAAGGCAGCUCACUGGACUGCAACUGACACUGAGGCUCGAAAGUGUGGGUAUCAAACAGGAUUAGAUACCCGUGUAGUC